This 1310-nucleotide ribosomal RNA is filed under the name Nocardia brasiliensis. Its description in RNAcentral is "bacterial SSU rRNA". It matches the Rfam family "Bacterial small subunit ribosomal RNA", at positions 115 to 1437 of the family's 1533-position model. Lineage: Bacteria; Bacillati; Actinomycetota; Actinomycetes; Mycobacteriales; Nocardiaceae. The record is from RNAcentral.
CUUUGGGUGAUCUGCCUCGCACUUCGGGAUAAGCCUGGGAAACUGGGUCUAAUACCGGAUAUGACCUUUCAGUGCAUGCUGUUGGGUGGAAAGAUUUAUCGGUGCGAGAUGGGCCCGCGGCCUAUCAGCUUGUUGGCGGGGUAACGGCCCACCAAGGCGACGACGGGUAGCCGACCUGAGAGGGUGACCGGCCACACUGGGACUGAGACACGGCCCAGACUCCUACGGGAGGCAGCAGUGGGGAAUAUUGCACAAUGGGCGGAAGCCUGAUGCAGCGACGCCGCGUGAGGGAUGACGGCCUUCGGGUUGUAAACCUCUUUCGACAGGGACGAAGCGCAAGUGACGGUACCUGUAGAAGAAGCACCGGCCAACUACGUGCCAGCAGCCGCGGUAAUACGUAGGGUGCGAGCGUUGUCCGGAAUUACUGGGCGUAAAGAGCUUGUAGGCGGUUUGUCGCGUCGUCCGUGAAAACUUGGGGCUCAACCCCAAGCUUGCGGGCGAUACGGGCAGACUUGAGUACUUCAGGGGAGACUGGAAUUCCUGGUGUAGCGGUGAAAUGCGCAGAUAUCAGGAGGAACACCGGUGGCGAAGGCGGGUCUCUGGGAAGUAACUGACGCUGAGAAGCGAAAGCGUGGGUAGCGAACAGGAUUAGAUACCCUGGUAGUUCACGCCGUAAACGGUGGGGUACUAGGUGUGGGUUUCCUUUCCACGGGAUCCGUGCCGUAGCUAACGCAUUAAGUACCCCGCCUGGGGAGUACGGCCGCAAGGCUAAAACUCAAAGGAAUUGACGGGGGCCCGCACAAGCGGCGGAGCAUGUGGAUUAAUUCGAUGCAACGCGAAGAACCUUACCUGGGUUUGACAUACACCGGAAACCUGCAGAGAUGUAGGCCCCCUUGUGGUCGGUGUACAGGUGGUGCAUGGCUGUCGUCAGCUCGUGUCGUGAGAUGUUGGGUUAAGUCCCGCAACGAGCGCAACCCUUGUCCUGUGUUGCCAGCGGAUUAUGCCGGGGACUCGCAGGAGACUGCCGGGGUCAACUCGGAGGAAGGUGGGGACGACGUCAAGUCAUCAUGCCCCUUAUGUCCAGGGCUUCACACAUGCUACAAUGGCCGGUACAGAGGGCUGCGAUACCGUGAGGUGGAGCGAAUCCCUUAAAGCCGGUCUCAGUUCGGAUCGGGGUCUGCAACUCGACCCCGUGAAGUUGGAGUCGCUAGUAAUCGCAGAUCAGCAACGCUGCGGUGAAUACGUUCCCGGGCCUUGUACACACCGCCCGGCAAAGGGUAAAGUCGGUAACACCCGAUUCCCACGGCCUA